Molecule: transfer RNA, 69 nt
Filed under: Rhombodera latipronotum
Lineage: Eukaryota; Metazoa; Arthropoda; Insecta; Mantodea; Mantidae
Description: tRNA-Tyr
Source: RNAcentral
GAUAAAAUGGCUGAGAUUAAGUAGGUAAUAGAUUGUAAAUCUAUUUAGGGGAAUAUUUCUCUUUUAUCA